CCCAGACUCCUACGGGAGGCAGCAGUGGGGAAUGUUGGACAAUGGGGGGAACCCUGAUCCAGCGACGCCGCGUGAGUGAAGAAGUAUUUCGGUAUGUAAAGCUCUAUCAGCAGGGAAGAAAAUGACGGUACCUGACUAAGAAGCCCCGGCUAACUACGUGCCAGCAGCCGCGGUAAUACGUAGGGGGCAAGCGUUAUCCGGAUUUACUGGGUGUAAAGGGAGCGUAGACGGCUAAUCAAGUCAGAAGUGAAAACCCAGGGCUCAACCUUGGGAGUGCUUUUGAAACUGAGUAGCUAGAGUGCAGGAGAGGUAAGCGGAAUUCCUAGUGUAGCGGUGAAAUGCGUAGAUAUUAGGAGGAACACCAGUGGCGAAGGCGGCCUGCUGGACUGCAACUGACGUUGAGGCCCGAAAGCGUGGGGAGCAAACAGGAUUAGAUACCCCCGUACG
RNAcentral lists this ribosomal RNA (447 nucleotides) under uncultured bacterium. Its description in RNAcentral is "bacterial SSU rRNA". It matches the Rfam family "Bacterial small subunit ribosomal RNA", at positions 330 to 793 of the family's 1533-position model. The record is from RNAcentral.